UGACAAUUGCCCGUAAUUGAAAUGACACGACCUAUUGGCACUAUACGUCAGUGCCACCAUGUACACUAACUCUCGAUUGUUCUGCAGGCCUGCGAUGAGUGAGCGGGUGGAGACAGUGGAGAUCGUCCAUCCUGCUGAAACGUCUCUGCAGGAGGUCAGAGACAGCGAGACUGAAGCUCAGAGGCCUGCGAUGAGUGAGCGGGUGGAGACAGUGGAGAUCGUCCAUCCUGCUGAAACGUCUCUGCAGGAGGUCAGGGACAGCGAGACUGAAGCUCAGAGGCCUGCGAUGAGUGAGCGGGUGGAGACAGUGGAGAUCGUCCAUCCUGCUGAAACGUCUCUGCAGGAGGUCAGGGACAGCGAGACUGAAGCUCAGAGCUCUCAGAGACCAGACUGUCCAGGACCCAGCAUGCCCGCGGGGGGGAGCCUUCUCAGUCCUGAUGAGUCCCCAGACCCCGGGGUGUCUAUCAAGAGUACUGCGUCUAACGAUCACGUCACUAGUUCCUCUCUUGAAGAACCUGUGGCACCAACUGGAUCAAGCUGUGACAAGUCACCAGAUGGCAUCAAUGCACAAAAAAAUACCUCUUCUUAUUACCAGAGGCGGAGGAAGUACAUUCUAUCUAAGUAAAAGUCGUAAUACCAAAGUGUAGAAAUACUCUGCUUUAGCUAAAGACUCAUAUAUGAGACUUAUAUGUCCCCUUUGUUCUACACACGUACAGACUGCUUGCACUCUGUAUGACUAUUGGACCUUCUUUGCAAAGAAUAAAUAUUCUAAAAACAAGUUUAUUCCUCAACAAUCUUCAUUUCAGUAUUAUAAACUUCACUGGUCAUUUGUAUAAGGACUUAAUUCAAACUUUCUACAUAUAUACAACUGGCUAUUGAGGUGACUUGGUGUAAAUAAGGUCAAUUAAUAAAUAUAACAAAAUGAUAUUAACUAUAAUAAUAAUAAUAAUUAUAUUUAAUGUUAAUGCACCUGCUUCAUUGUAGUGCCUAUUUUGAAGUCCCUAUUAAUUGUUUUAUUAAUAUUAAAGUUUCACCUUUAAUUCAUAAUUUCAUGUCUUUGUGUGAUUUCAGUGAACUGACCAUUAAUUAACUAAAAUAACUGCAGUUACAGGUCUGGUGUUGUAUUUAUGUUGUUAUAUCUACAGCAGAGUUUUAGCAGUGCUACAGUAUCAGUCAGAGGCCAGCGGUCUUCUGGCAGGUGAACAUUGUUUUUAGUUGUAAGACUCAUUUAGGCCUCGAGGGUGUACCACUACCCAUCGAACUAUAAAGGGAAGAAU
Molecule: long non-coding RNA, 1277 nt
Organism: Cottoperca gobio
Lineage: Eukaryota; Metazoa; Chordata; Actinopteri; Perciformes; Bovichtidae
Source: Ensembl